AUUGAACGCUGGCGGCAGGCUUAACACAUGCAAGUCGAACGAUGACUAACUAGCUUGCUAGUUAUGAUUAGUGGCGGACGGGUGAGUAACAUUUAGGAAUCUGCCUAGUAGUGGGGGAUAGCUCGGGGAAACUCGAAUUAAUACCGCAUACGACCUACGGGUGAAAGGGGGCGCAAGCUCUUGCUAUUAGAUGAGCCUAAAUCAGAUUAGCUAGUUGGUGGGGUAAAGGCCCACCAAGGCGACGAUCUGUAACUGGUCUGAGAGGAUGAUCAGUCACACCGGAACUGAGACACGGUCCGGACUCCUACGGGAGGCAGCAGUGGGGAAUAUUGGACAAUGGGGGAAACCCUGAUCCAGCCAUGCCGCGUGUGUGAAGAAGGCCUUUUGGUUGUAAAGCACUUUAAGCAGGGAGGAGAGGCUAAUGGUUAAUACCCAUUAGAUUAGACGUUACCUGCAGAAUAAGCACCGGCUAACUCUGUGCCAGCAGCCGCGGUAAUACAGAGGGUGCGAGCGUUAAUCGGAAUUACUGGGCGUAAAGCGAGUGUAGGUGGCUCAUUAAGUCACAUGUGAAAUCCCCGGGCUUAACCUGGGAACUGCAUGUGAUACUGGUGGUGCUAGAAUAUGUGAGAGGGAAGUAGAAUUCCAGGUGUAGCGGUGAAAUGCGUAGAGAUCUGGAGGAAUACCGAUGGCGAAGGCAGCUUCCUGGCAUAAUAUUGACACUGAGAUUCGAAAGCGUGGGUAGCAAACAGGAUUAGAUGCCCUGGUAGUCCACGCCGUAAACGAUGUCUACUAGCCGUUGGGGUCCUUGAGACUUUAGUGGCGCAGUUAACGCGAUAAGUAGACCGCCUGGGGAGUACGGCCGCAAGGUUAAAACUCAAAUGAAUUGACGGGGGCCCGCACAAGCGGUGGAGCAUGUGGUUUAAUUCGAUGCAACGCGAAGAACCUUACCUGGUCUUGACAUAGUGAGAAUCCCGCAGAGAUGCGGGAGUGCCUUCGGGAAUUCACAUACAGGUGCUGCAUGGCUGUCGUCAGCUCGUGUCGUGAGAUGUUGGGUUAAGUCCCGCAACGAGCGCAACCCUUUUCCUUAUUUGCCAGCGGGUUAAGCCGGGAACUUUAAGGAUACUGCCAGUGACAAACUGGAGGAAGGCGGGGACGACGUCAAGUCAUCAUGGCCCUUACGACCAGGGCUACACACGUGCUACAAUGGUAGGUACAGAGGGUUGCUACACAGCGAUGUGAUGCUAAUCUCAAAAAGCCUAUCGUAGUCCGGAUUGGAGUCUGCAACUCGACUCCAUGAAGUCGGAAUCGCUAGUAAUCGCAGAUCAGAAUGCUGCGGUGAAUACGUUCCCGGGCCU
Molecule: ribosomal RNA, 1355 nt
Filed under: uncultured bacterium
Lineage: Bacteria
Description: bacterial SSU rRNA
Rfam family: Bacterial small subunit ribosomal RNA
Source: RNAcentral